Anas platyrhynchos (mallard) is the source of this 1203-nucleotide non-coding RNA. The record is from RefSeq and is a predicted model, not a curated record. NCBI's taxonomy places the organism in Eukaryota, Metazoa, Chordata, Aves, Anseriformes, Anatidae.
UCCACCUACCUUAAAUGCUCUCAGAAAACCUUUUAAGCUUAGCCUGAGAUCAUCAGUCCCUGCCUGAGCUAUUUGGAGGAGUGCUGGUCUCCAGCUCAGGUGCGCCUGGCCGUGGAGUCCUUUUAUCCUGAGCUUUGUAUGCAGAUUGGUCUCCCAGCUUGAACUUGGCUCUGCCUCAUCAUCACAGCUCUGCCUGGAAUUUUCUAGACCUGACCCAUAGACUGGCUUCCCGGUUUGACCUUAGACCUGCCCUAUCACUAUGCUUUUGGCUUGUGACAUGGGCUCUUGGUUGGACCCGGUUACCAUCUUUGAGUCUGUCCUGCUCGGUUCACUCAGGUGGUGUGGGGCAGGCCAUGGGAUCACCUCAGCUCCUCACCUCCUCUUCCCUUGAGGAGAAGACCUGCUCUUGCUGCUCUCUGAUGCUCUCUUAAAAUAUGUUUGUUAAUGUGUAGGGAUGAGCUAGUGUGGCUGUCAGUACUUAAGCAAUAGUAGAUAGUGAUUUCUGUCCCCUCUGCAGAAGCUUUCUAACUGAAGUUCUUUUUGUCUAAUGAAGAAGGAGUCACUUCCUACUGGCUCCUCUUUCCCUGGAGGCAGCAAAGGGGCAAAAGAUGACGGAAGUAAGGAACAGAAACUUCUGGUGCCCCGCCAUAACAUUUCCACUGCUGAAGAAAAUCUAGAUAAUACUUUUAUUUUCAGACAUGAAAAUUCAUGGUUCAGUUUUCUCUAGAGGACUUUGCUCACGAAUAAAGAUAAUCCCAUAUUCAGUGUUUCACCUGAUUGGAUUGAGCCUGCAAAGCAUUUCUUAUCUAGAUAAAAUAAAAGGCUUUGCAAAAAAAUGCUGGCAAACCACACUCUAUUUAAAUGAACUGUUCAGAACCUAGAACUACUGGAAAAAAAAAAAAAAAAAGAAAGAUCAGAGCAAACCUGUGAGCUGAUGUGAAGGGAGAUGCAGUGGAAAAUGUGAGCAACUUUAUGAAAAAGUUCAGAGAUGGCAAGAAACGUAUCUCAGUCGAGAGUAAAAGUACUUUGUUGGAGGAAGUAAAAUGGCUGCAAAAGUACAGAACCUGCUGAGCUACAGAGAAACAAUUCUUUCUGAAAAGACAGAAGCAGUUCUCAGGGAAAAGCAAAAAGCUCUGGGACUUGCUUUUCAUGGAUGCAUCUACACUAACUUCAGAGCACCAGCCCAAGCUGAAACUUGUCUUG